Long non-coding RNA from Branchiostoma belcheri (Belcher's lancelet), 489 nucleotides. RefSeq lists it as uncharacterized. Lineage: Eukaryota; Metazoa; Chordata; Leptocardii; Amphioxiformes; Branchiostomatidae. The record is from RefSeq and is a predicted model, not a curated record. The transcript is spliced from 3 exons.
ACAGCCUUCUUUAGUUUAUAGACCCUAUCAAUUCCAAGCAAAUGAACGACUCACUGUUUUCAACCGAGUGGAAAGUGUAAAAAUCUCUGAAUUCUGAAAACCCAUUAACCUUUGGAUAGUCGGGGCGAGCGGGGACCAGAUCGGACAGGAAUGGCCGGGCAAGCAGAGUGCAGGCGGACGGCCGGGCGGGCCAGCGGGGAGCGGGCAGCCGGGCGGGCGGACAGUACCCCCAGCCGUAGAGGUACAGAGGAACCUACGAAGGACAGGUUGAAGCUAUUGAAAAGUAAACCUCAGACAUGCAGAGAGGGAUACCCUACUGUUCUACACUGAACACCAGUGCCGGCAUAUAAGGUUAUGCCCUGUCCGCGCUAAACUGACCGCACCUGCCAACGACGCAGGGUUCCGAACAGCGGAGACCAUCUCAGUGCACAGAGGCGGUUUCACUCUACAUGACGACAAACACAGCAGUUACUCAAGAAUACAAUCAAG